AGAGUUUGAUCCUGGCUCAGGAUGAACGCUGGCGGCGUGCUUAACACAUGCAAGUCGAACGGAACUCAUUGGAUCAAGACUUCGGUCAAGUGAAUUUGAGUUUAGUGGCGGACGGGUGAGUAACGCGUGAGGAACCUGCCUCGGAGUGGGGAAUAACAGUUAGAAAUGACUGCUAAUACCGCAUAAUGCAUAUUGAUCGCAUGGUUGAUGUGCCAAAGAUUUAUCGCUCUGAGAUGGCCUCGCGUCUGAUUAGCUAGUUGGCGGGGUAACGGCCCACCAAGGCGACGAUCAGUAGCCGGACUGAGAGGUUGGCCGGCCACAUUGGGACUGAGACACGGCCCAGACUCCUACGGGAGGCAGCAGUGGGGAAUAUUGGGCAAUGGGCGCAAGCCUGACCCAGCAACGCCGCGUGAAGGAAGAAGGCUUUCGGGUUGUAAACUUCUUUUAAGAGGGACGAAGAAUGACGGUACCUCUUGAAUAAGCCACGGCUAACUACGUGCCAGCAGCCGCGGUAAUACGUAGGUUGCAAGCGUUGUCCGGAUUUACUGGGUGUAAAGGGCGUGUAGGCGGAGCUGCAAGUCAGAUGUGAAAUCCCGGGGCUCAACCCCGGAACUGCAUUUGAAACUGUAGCCCUUGAGUAUCGGAGAGGCAAGCGGAAUUCCUAGUGUAGCGGUGAAAUGCGUAGAUAUUAGGAGGAACACCAGUGGCGAAGGCGGCUUGCUGGACGACAACUGACGCUGAGGCGCGAAAGCGUGGGGAGCAAACAGGAUUAGAUACCCUGGUAGUCCACGCUGUAAACGAUGAAUACUAGGUGUGGGAGGACUGACCCCUUCCGUGCCGCAGUUAACACAAUAAGUAUUCCACCUGGGGAGUACGACCGCAAGGUUGAAACUCAAAGGAAUUGACGGGGGCCCGCACAAGCAGUGGAUUAUGUGGUUUAAUUCGAAGCAACGCGAAGAACCUUACCUGGUCUUGACAUCCCUCUGACCGGUCAGUAAUGUGACUUUUCCUUCGGGACAGAGGAGACAGGUGGUGCAUGGUUGUCGUCAGCUCGUGUCGUGAGAUGUUGGGUUAAGUCCCGCAACGAGCGCAACCCCUAUCCUUAGUAGCCAGCGGCCAGGCCGGGCACUCUAGGGAGACUGCCGGGGAUAACCUGGAGGAAGGUGGGGAUGACGUCAAAUCAUCAUGCCCCUUAUGAUUUGGGCUACACACGUGCUACAAUGGCGUAAACAAAGGGAAGCGACCCCGUGAGGGUGAGCAAAUCCCAAAAAUAACGUCUCAGUUCGGAUUGUAGUCUGCAACUCGACUACAUGAAGCUGGAAUCGCUAGUAAUCGCGAAUCAGAAUGUCGCGGUGAAUACGUUCCCGGGUCUUGCACUCACCGCCCGU
RNAcentral lists this ribosomal RNA (1388 nucleotides) under synthetic construct. RNAcentral describes it as "bacterial SSU rRNA". It matches the Rfam family "Bacterial small subunit ribosomal RNA". RNAcentral also lists the same sequence under 1 other name. The record is from RNAcentral.